CGUAGAUAGUCUCUGUCCGCCUCGACGGAAUGCCAACUAACACAAUUCUAUAAUCUAAUGAAGGAAAAUCUACUGAAAUAAAUAGCAGUCCAUGCAAUGCAAGGCAAGGUCAUAAAAAGAACCAUACAUAUGAUGCAAACGAUAAAAUAUUGUUUGUCUAAAGACUUAUACAUUAAUAAGUAUGGCAAAUCCUUGUGUACAAAGAACAAAAAGACAUAGACAACGAGAAAGGGAGCACCUACGGUGGUAAAGAUAUCAGAUGCCAUGCUUGUGAAAAUUACUUUCUUUACAUAUAGUAUAGUUAAGCCACGG
Molecule: long non-coding RNA, 312 nt
Filed under: Elaeis guineensis (African oil palm)
Lineage: Eukaryota; Viridiplantae; Streptophyta; Magnoliopsida; Arecales; Arecaceae
Description: long non-coding RNA (EGUI_LNC020921)
Source: RNAcentral